Molecule: ribosomal RNA, 497 nt
Filed under: uncultured bacterium
Lineage: Bacteria
Description: partial 16S ribosomal RNA
Rfam family: Bacterial small subunit ribosomal RNA
Source: RNAcentral
GAUGAACGCUGGCGGCGUGCCUAAUACAUGCAAGUCGAGCGAACAGACGAGGAGCUUGCUCCUCUGACGUUAGCGGCGGACGGGUGAGUAACACGUGGAUAACCUACCUAUAAGACUGGGAUAACUUCGGGAAACCGGAGCUAAUACCGGAUAAUAUAUUGAACCGCAUGGUUCAAUAGUGAAAGACGGUUUUGCUGUCACUUAUAGAUGGAUCCGCGCCGCAUUAGCUAGUUGGUAAGGUAACGGCUUACCAAGGCAACGAUGCGUAGCCGACCUGAGAGGGUGAUCGGCCACACUGGAACUGAGACACGGUCCAGACUCCUACGGGAGGCAGCAGUAGGGAAUCUUCCGCAAUGGGCGAAAGCCUGACGGAGCAACGCCGCGUGAGUGAUGAAGGUCUUCGGAUCGUAAAACUCUGUUAUUAGGGAAGAACAAAUGUGUAAGUAACUGUGCACGUCUUGACGGUAACUAAUCAGAAAGCCACGGCUAACUACGUG